UAGGGGAUGACGUGGUCAUGAUAAAACGCCCAUUCAAAAUGGCGUUUUAUCGAUUUUGCAUCAUUCUGAUAAAUAAAUUAAAAAUAAAAUUAUUUAUAUAAAUAAAUUUUUUUAAAUAUUAAUUAGGAAAAGAACUCUGUCUUCUAUCCGACAAUGAUUAUGAAAUAUAAAUAUAUUCCACAUAAACUGGUUACCGGUUUGAUUUAAAAGAGAGAGGGAUGGA
Molecule: long non-coding RNA, 223 nt
Filed under: Elaeis guineensis (African oil palm)
Lineage: Eukaryota; Viridiplantae; Streptophyta; Magnoliopsida; Arecales; Arecaceae
Description: long non-coding RNA (EGUI_LNC017843)
Source: RNAcentral